This 496-nucleotide ribosomal RNA is filed under the name uncultured bacterium. Its description in RNAcentral is "partial 16S ribosomal RNA". It matches the Rfam family "Bacterial small subunit ribosomal RNA", at positions 28 to 507 of the family's 1533-position model. The record is from RNAcentral.
GAUGAACGCUGGCGGCGUGCCUAAUACAUGCAAGUCGAGCGAACGGACGAGAAGCUUGCUUCUCUGAUGUUAGCGGCGGACGGGUGAGUAACACGUGGAUAACCUACCUAUAAGACUGGGAUAACUUCGGGAAACCGGAGCUAAUACCGGAUAAUAUUUUGAACCGCAUGGUUCAAAAGUGAAAGACGGUCUUGCUGUCACUUAUAGAUGGAUCCGCGCUGCAUUAGCUAGUUGGUAAGGUAACGGCUUACCAAGGCAACGAUGCAUAGCCGACCUGAGAGGUGGAUCGGCCACACGGGACCUAGGACACGUCCAGACUCCUACGGGAGGCAGCAGUAGGGAAUCUUCCGCAAUGGGCGAAAGCCUGACGGAGCAACGCCGCGUGAGUGAUGAAGGUCUUCGGAUCGUAAAACUCUGUUAUUAGGGAAGAACAUAUGUGUAAGUAACUGUGCACAUCUUGACGGUACCUAAUCAGAAAGCCACGGCUAACUACGUG